UGGGGAAUAUUGGGCAAUGGGGGAAACCCUGACCCAGCAACGCCGCGUGAAGGAAGAAGGCCUUCGGGUUGUAAACUUCUUUUACCAGGGACGAAGGACGUGACGGUACCUGGAGAAAAAGACAACGGCUAACUACGUGCCAGCAGCCGCGGUAAUACGUAGGUUGCAAGCGUUGUCCGGAUUUACUGGGUGUAAAGGGAGCGUAGACGGCAAAGCAAGUCUGAAGUGAAAGCCCCGGGCUCAACCCGGGAACUGCUUUGGAAACUGUUUAGCUAGAGUGCAGGAGAGGUAAGUGGAAUUCCUAGUGUAGCGGUGAAAUGCGUAGAUAUUAGGAGGAACACCAGUGGCGAAGGCGGCUUACUGGACUGUAACUGACGUUGAGGCUCGAAAGCGUGGGGAGCAAACAGGAUUAGAUACCCUGGUAGU
RNAcentral lists this ribosomal RNA (426 nucleotides) under uncultured Clostridium sp. RNAcentral describes it as "bacterial SSU rRNA". It matches the Rfam family "Bacterial small subunit ribosomal RNA", at positions 355 to 794 of the family's 1533-position model. The record is from RNAcentral. Lineage: Bacteria; Bacillati; Bacillota; Clostridia; Eubacteriales; Clostridiaceae.